UACAGAGGUCUCAAGCGUUGUUCGGAUUCAUUGGGCGUAAAGGGUGCGUAGGUGGCGAGGUAAGUCGGAUGUGAAAUCUCAGGGCUCAACCCUGAAACUGCAUUCGAUACUGCCGUGCUUGAGGACUGGAGAGGAGACUGGAAUUUACGGUGUAGCGGUGAAAUGCGUAGAUAUCGUAAGGAAGACCAGUGGCGAAGGCGGGUCUCUGGACAGUUCCUGACGCUGAGGCACGAAGGUCAGGGGAGCAAACGGG
Molecule: ribosomal RNA, 253 nt
Filed under: uncultured bacterium
Lineage: Bacteria
Description: partial 16S ribosomal RNA
Rfam family: Bacterial small subunit ribosomal RNA
Source: RNAcentral